ACGGGGUGCAGCAGGCGCGAAAACUUGUCAAUGCGGGAAACCGCGAACAGGGGAGUCCAAGUGCUUGCACUUUGUGUAAGCUGUUCGGUUGUCUAAAAAACAGCCGAAGGAAGGGCUGGGUAAGACAGGUGCCAGCCGCCGCGGUAAUACCUGCAGCCCGAGUGGUGAUCGAUUUUAUUGAGCCUAAAGCGUCCGUAGCCGGACUAGUAAACCCUUGGGUAAAUUGGGCAGCUUAACUGUCCAAAUUCCGAGGGGACUGCUAGUCUUGGGACCGGGAGAGGUCAGAGGUACUCCAGGGGUAGGGGCUAAAUCCUGUAAUCCUUGGGGGACCACCAGUGGCGAAGGCGUCUGACUAGAACGGAUCCGACGGUAAGGGACGAAACCCUGGGGCGCGAACCGGAUUAGAUACCCGGGUAGUCCAGGGCGUAAACGCUGCAGGCUUGGUGUUGGGGAUCCUACGAGGAUGCCCAGUGCCGGAGUGAAGAUGUUAAGCCUGCCGCUUGGGAGUACGUCCGCAAGG
This 520-nucleotide ribosomal RNA is filed under the name uncultured archaeon. RNAcentral describes it as "bacterial SSU rRNA". It matches the Rfam family "Archaeal small subunit ribosomal RNA", at positions 325 to 848 of the family's 1478-position model. The record is from RNAcentral.